GCUACGAAGGGUUCAUGAGAAGUACGGUAGUCUGCAUGAACGGAUCUUCAUCCCUCUCUCACUCGUGUAGAAUCAAUAUGAGCGCUGCAACAACUUGUACGAGAUUUAGCGAUAAUUACGAAGUUAAAGAAGAACUAGGAAAGGGUGCUUUUUCAAUUGUGAGAAGAUGUGUUCAGAAUAUAACUCUAUUAGAAUUUGCUGCAAAGAUUAUCAACACAAAGAAAUUAUCUGCCAGAGAUUUUCAGAAGCUGGAAAAGGGAAU
Limulus polyphemus (Atlantic horseshoe crab) is the source of this 262-nucleotide long non-coding RNA. RefSeq lists it as uncharacterized. The record is from RefSeq and is a predicted model, not a curated record. NCBI's taxonomy places the organism in Eukaryota, Metazoa, Arthropoda, Merostomata, Xiphosura, Limulidae. The transcript has 5 exons.